GAUGAACGCUGGCGGCGUGCCUAAUACAUGCAAGUCGAGCGAACAGACGAGGAGCUUGCUCCUCUGACGUUAGCGGCGGACGGGUGAGUAACACGUGGAUAACCUAUCUAUAAGACUGGGAUAACUUCGGGAAACCGGAUCUCAUACCGGAUAAUAUAUUGAACCGCAUGGUUCAAUAGUGAAAGACGGUUUUGCUGUCACUUAUAGAUGGAUCCGCGCCGCAUUAGCUAGUUGGUAAGGUAACGGCUUACCAAGGCUACGAUGCGUAGCCGACCUGAGAGCGUGAUCAGCCACACUGGAACUGAGACACGGUCCAGACUCCUACGGGAGGCAGCAGUAGGGAAUCUUCCGCAAUGGGCGAAAGCCUGACGGAGCAACGCCGCGUGAGUGAUGAAGGUCUUCGGAUCGUAAAACUCUGUUAUUAGGGAAGAACAAAUGUGUAAGUAACUAUGCACGUCUUGACGGUACCUAAUCAGAAAGCCACGGCUAACUACGUG
RNAcentral lists this ribosomal RNA (497 nucleotides) under uncultured bacterium. Its description in RNAcentral is "partial 16S ribosomal RNA". It matches the Rfam family "Bacterial small subunit ribosomal RNA", at positions 28 to 507 of the family's 1533-position model. The record is from RNAcentral.